GUGCCAGCAGCCGCGGUAAUACCGGCAGCCCGAGUGAUGGCCGAUAUUAUUGGGCCUAAAGCGUCCGUAGCUGGCCGAACAAGUCCGUCGGGAAAUCCACGCGCUCAACGCGUGGGCGUCCGGUGGAAACUGCACGGCUUGGGGCCGAGAGACUCGACGGGUACGUCCGGGGUAGGAGUGAAAUCCUGUAAUCCCGCUCGGACCGCCGAUGGGGAAACCACCUCAGGAGAACGGAUCCGACAGUGAGGGACGAAAGCCAGGGUCUCGAACCGGAUUAGAAACCCCGGUAGUCC
Molecule: ribosomal RNA, 293 nt
Filed under: uncultured bacterium
Lineage: Bacteria
Description: partial 16S ribosomal RNA
Rfam family: Archaeal small subunit ribosomal RNA
Source: RNAcentral